CGGCCGAGCGGCAUCGGAGCAGGGCUGCGCCGCGUUUCCCGGCCCCGCGCCCCUCUCCAGACGCCGGGAGCGGCCGCGUGCCGGAAAAUGCCGCCGGGGCGGCGGAGCGGGGCCCUGGCUCUGCCCGCCCCUCCUGCCGCCCUCCCUGGAAUGGUUUGAGGCAUUAUGGGUUUAUUGAGAUGUCGUGGAUAUGCUGGCUGUUCUGAUGGAGGGCAGUGAUGGCUUAGAUGGAGAAAUUUGGUUCUCUUUAAAUAAAGACGUGAUUAUCCAAACAUUUCCCUUCAGUGCUGUUGUCCCUGCUGCAUUAGCAGCCAGGAAUAUGCUGUUGCUUCAGUCUGAAAACGGAACAGAUGCAGAAGAAACAGCUAUGUAACAAGGCGAUAUGUGACGCGUGCUGUGAAAUUCAUUAACUUGCCGCUACCUGAUUAUUGCAAGCAAUGAAAAGCUAUCCAGCAGUUUGUCAGUUGAAGCAGAAGACAAUCCUUUGCACCAAUACGUACUCAUGUGCACAUGCCGAUCAGCUGAAGUGUUAAAGCUCAAGCUGAUUCUGUAUCCCUGACUUCCCUU
Molecule: non-coding RNA, 567 nt
Organism: Lonchura striata (white-rumped munia)
Lineage: Eukaryota; Metazoa; Chordata; Aves; Passeriformes; Estrildidae
Source: RefSeq, a predicted model, not a curated record